Molecule: small RNA, 277 nt
Filed under: Drosophila erecta
Lineage: Eukaryota; Metazoa; Arthropoda; Insecta; Diptera; Drosophilidae
Description: GG27097
Source: RNAcentral
CGCAUUUGCAUUUAGCGUUUCAUUUUUCUUCUCACAUAUUUAUUUGUUUGCUUUUUUUAAGCGUUUUGUUACGCUUCACAUUUACGUGUUGAUUGCUCGUUCCAGCACACAGAGCGAAACUUGUUUUGCAAAAUGCCAUUCAAAUGCUCGCAGCAGUCUGAAUCUUGGCCCAUCUAAUAACUUAAUUUCUGUUGUUGUUUCCCAAGGCAUCAAAUCCGAAGGCGACAAAAUGUUUACCACCGUCAUUUUUUGCCCCCACUUUCGGCAGUCAGCAAGG